RNAcentral lists this transfer RNA (74 nucleotides) under bacterium BMS3Bbin03. Its description in RNAcentral is "tRNA-Asn". It matches the Rfam family "tRNA". Rfam says of the family: Transfer RNA (tRNA) molecules are approximately 80 nucleotides in length. Their secondary structure includes four short double-helical elements and three loops (D, anti-codon, and T loops). The record is from RNAcentral.
UCCGGAGUAGCUCAAUUGGCAGAGCGGGUGGCUGUUAACUACUAGGCUGGGGGUUCAAGUCCCUCCUCCGGAGC